Molecule: long non-coding RNA, 205 nt
Filed under: Elaeis guineensis (African oil palm)
Lineage: Eukaryota; Viridiplantae; Streptophyta; Magnoliopsida; Arecales; Arecaceae
Description: long non-coding RNA (EGUI_LNC042046)
Source: RNAcentral
CACAAGAUGUAGGGUUUGUUCUCGCUGUCACCAGCCUACAAUCUCGUCACCGCCAGCUAGCAGCCUUGCCACCGCCAGCAACCUCGCUGUCUUGCUGCCUCACCACUCCCAUCAACCUCAUUGAUCGCUACCUCGCCAUGCAGCCUCACUAUGCAGCCUGUGCCCAUCAAGCUCGCUGAUCGCUGCCUCACUGUGACUAGCAACC